RNAcentral lists this ribosomal RNA (253 nucleotides) under Acidobacteriaceae bacterium. Its description in RNAcentral is "partial 16S ribosomal RNA". It matches the Rfam family "Bacterial small subunit ribosomal RNA", at positions 524 to 776 of the family's 1533-position model. Lineage: Bacteria; Pseudomonadati; Acidobacteriota; Terriglobia; Terriglobales; Acidobacteriaceae. The record is from RNAcentral. RNAcentral also lists the same sequence under 2 other names.
UACGAGGGGGGCAAGCGUUGUUCGGAAUUAUUGGGCGUAAAGGGUGCGUAGGCGGCCUGACAAGUCUGAUGUGAAAUCCCUGGGCUCAACCCAGGGCCUGCAUCGGAAACUGUCGGGCUUGAGUAUGGGAGAGGUGAGUGGAAUUUCCGGUGUAGCGGUGAAAUGCGUAGAUAUCGGAAGGAACACCUGUGGCGAAAGCGGCUCACUGGACCAUUACUGACGCUGAGGCACGAAAGCUAGGGGAGCAAACAGG